This 71-nucleotide transfer RNA is filed under the name Candidatus Amesbacteria bacterium RIFOXYB1_FULL_47_13. Its description in RNAcentral is "tRNA-Ala". It matches the Rfam family "tRNA". From Rfam's summary of the family: Transfer RNA (tRNA) molecules are approximately 80 nucleotides in length. Their secondary structure includes four short double-helical elements and three loops (D, anti-codon, and T loops). RNAcentral also lists the same sequence under 1 other name. The record is from RNAcentral. Lineage: Bacteria; Candidatus Amesiibacteriota.
GGGCUCAUAGUUAAACGGUAGAACACGUCGUUCGCAUCGACGAGAUCCGGGUUCAAUUCCCGGUGAGUCCA